UACUGUUACAGCACUUUAGAAUUUGUCUAGCAGAUUAUCUGGUUUUCGCUGGAAAACCCUU
RNAcentral lists this small nuclear RNA (61 nucleotides) under Carlito syrichta (Philippine tarsier). RNAcentral describes it as "U7 small nuclear RNA (ENSTSYG00000025137.2)". It matches the Rfam family "U7 small nuclear RNA". From Rfam's summary of the family: Animal histone pre-mRNAs are spliced by a different mechanism than nuclear pre-mRNAs and self-splicing introns. This processing involves the U7 snRNP, which contains only one RNA species: U7. Lineage: Eukaryota; Metazoa; Chordata; Mammalia; Primates; Tarsiidae. The record is from Rfam by way of RNAcentral.